Molecule: long non-coding RNA, 742 nt
Organism: Rhipicephalus microplus (southern cattle tick)
Lineage: Eukaryota; Metazoa; Arthropoda; Arachnida; Ixodida; Ixodidae
Source: RefSeq, a predicted model, not a curated record
GCGCGGGGCUGCUCACGAAGUCGGGUUCCCAGCUCCAAAGUGUCCGCGCUGACAAGUUCUCGCAACCAAUUAUAACAAGCAACGCUUCGAGUGCGGAUACACAAGCAACGACAACACGUCCACAGCCUUCGAUGCGGGGAAACUGCAGGUCGGUGUCACUCGGCGGCCCUCCCAACAUGGUUCCUAUUCCAACGAAAAGAUCGGGCGCGAUGAGACGUCCUCUGGUACGCGCAAAUGAUAAUGAUCAUAAUUCGCCGCCACCCACCCUCUCUGGCCUCACAGCAGCCCAAUUUUGGAGUGUACGAUCAACGAGAUCUUCCUGCCAUGAACAACGAAUAAGGCCAGCAUAGAACAAAAGCUUACGGAAUCCCCACGAAAUACCGGCUUUGAUCUGUCUCGGUAUUAAUUAAAAUUCAGGAGUGUAGCAAUGCGCAACCCCCCCUCCCCCGCCCUCUCGUAGUUUCUGUCCUCCAUUCGGCAAGCCUGACGUGAAGUUGCACCAGACAGCACCUGCAUGUCAUCCCCUUUUUAAUGCCUUUUUAGAGUUCAAGGAAGGAUGCACCCCUCCUCCAGAUGCUCACAAAAAGAAAUUCUUGACCAUGCACUGCUACAAUUGCGCGUAAUUUUGUAGUUUCAAUUUUUUAACGUUUGAUAUCCUGCCAUUUUAGUUACAACCAAUUGUUAAUAUAAGUGAUUGAUUAGAUGUUAACUUCCAUGCUAUAAUAAAGUCAAGCAAAACUGA